GCCUACACAUGCAAGUCGAGCGGUUGACGGGAGCUUGCUCCCUGAUUCAGCGGCGGACGGGUGAGUAAUGCCUAGGAAUCUGCCUAUUAGUGGGGGACAACGUUUCGAAAGGAACGCUAAUACCGCAUACGUCCUACGGGAGAAAGCAGGGGACCUUCGGGCCUUGCGCUAAUAGAUGAGCCUAGGUCGGAUUAGCUAGUUGGUGAGGUAAUGGCUCACCAAGGCGACGAUCCGUAACUGGUCUGAGAGGAUGAGCAGUCACACUGGAACUGAGACACGGUCCAGACUCCUACGGGAGGCAGCAGUGGGGAAUAUUGGACAAUGGGCGAAAGCCUGAUCCAGCCAUGCCGCGUGUGUGAAGAAGGUCUUCGGAUUGUAAAGCACUUUAAGUUGGGAGGAAGGGUUGUAGAUUAAUACUCUGCAAUUUUGACGUUACCGACAGAAUAAGCACCGGCUAACUCUGUGCCAGCAGCCGCGGUAAU
RNAcentral lists this ribosomal RNA (482 nucleotides) under uncultured bacterium. Its description in RNAcentral is "bacterial SSU rRNA". It matches the Rfam family "Bacterial small subunit ribosomal RNA", at positions 46 to 524 of the family's 1533-position model. The record is from RNAcentral.